This 494-nucleotide ribosomal RNA is filed under the name uncultured bacterium. RNAcentral's name for it is "partial 16S ribosomal RNA". It matches the Rfam family "Bacterial small subunit ribosomal RNA", at positions 28 to 507 of the family's 1533-position model. The record is from RNAcentral.
GACGAACGCUGGCGGCGUGCUUAACACAUGCAAGUCGAACGGAAAGGCCUGCUUUCCCUUGUGGAUUGCGGGUACUCGAGUGGCGAACGGGUGAGUAACACGUGAGUGAUCUGCCCCCAACUUGGGUAUAAGCCUGGGAAACUGGGUCUAAUUCCCGAUAGGACUGCAGGGUGGUGCCUGUGGUGGAAAACGAUGUUCUAGUGGUUGGGGAUGAGCUCGCGGCCUAUCAGCUUGUUGGUGGGGUAAUGGCCUACCAAGGCGGCGACGGGUAGCCGGCCUGAGAGGGUGGACAGCCACAUUGGGACUGGGAUACGGCCCAGACUCCUACGGGAGGCAGGAGUGGGGAAUAGUGCACAAUGGGCGGAAGCCUGAUGCAGCGAGGCCGCGUGGGGGAUGACGGCCUUCGGGUUGUAAACUCCUUUCGACCGCGAGGAAGCCACCUGGUUGGAAGGGUGGUGACGGUAGUGGUAGAAGAAGCACCGGCUAACUACGUG